CAGUCGCCACGGUAAUACGGAGGGAGCUAGCGUUGUUCGGAAUUACUGGACGUAAAGCGCGCGUAGGCGGUUACUCAAGUCAGAGGUGAAUGCCCGGGGCUCGACCCCGGAACUGCCUUUGAAACUAGGUGACUAGAAUCUUGGAGAGGUCAGUGGAAUUCCGAGUGUAGAGGUGAAAUUCGUAGAUAUUCGGAAGAACACCAGUGGCGAAGGCGACUUACUGGACAAGUAUUGACGCUGAGGUGCGAAAGCGUGGGGAGCAAACAGGAUUAGAUACCCCAGUAGUCCCUGUCUCUUAUAC
Molecule: ribosomal RNA, 301 nt
Filed under: uncultured bacterium
Lineage: Bacteria
Description: partial 16S ribosomal RNA
Rfam family: Bacterial small subunit ribosomal RNA
Source: RNAcentral